RNAcentral lists this transfer RNA (68 nucleotides) under Lophostoma brasiliense (Pygmy round-eared bat). RNAcentral's name for it is "tRNA-Trp". Lineage: Eukaryota; Metazoa; Chordata; Mammalia; Chiroptera; Phyllostomidae. The record is from RNAcentral.
AGGAGUUUAGGUUAGCCCAGACCAAGAGCCUUCAAAGCUCUAAGCAAAUAUUAAUUAUUUAACUCCUG